Molecule: long non-coding RNA, 3460 nt
Organism: Bombus huntii
Lineage: Eukaryota; Metazoa; Arthropoda; Insecta; Hymenoptera; Apidae
Exons: 2
Source: RefSeq, a predicted model, not a curated record
UUAAGUUUUUCCGACAACAUCAAGAUCAUGUCUUUGUCCAACGAUUCUAAUUUAGUCGACAUUAUUUCUUAGGUAUAUAUUUUAUCGAUAAUCGUAACAACUUUAAUUUUUUGUGGAGCGAAUCGAACCGUUUAAACCAACUUUAAUCCUCCGUGAAGCGGAUCCCACCGCUGCCACCAAAAAUUUAAAUCUCUAAUGUUACGUAUCAAUUUGUUUGUUUAAAUCGAUCAAAUCUUAAGUUUAAAUUUUACUAAAAAAUUUCUUUUUUCGUUUGAGUUUGAAUUUAAUCUGAAGGGAAAUAAAUUGAAUUGAUAUUAUUGUGUAUGUAAUACUGAUUUAGAUUUCUAAUUAAUACGGUAGUUGCUGCCACCAGAAAUAGUCUAAGGACUAUUUCAAAAUAUUUUAUUUUUUAUUAUUUUUUUUCGUUUAAUGGGUAGCGUUAACUGACGCUUAAUGCAACUGCUAAACGAUUUCCACUUUUCGGCUAACCUGCUAUGUGCAGGGAUAUUGGCACGGGAGAGGAUUAAAGCUGGGAACAAUAAAUAUUUGUCCUCGUUAAACGGAUUUUUAUUUGAAUGUAGAAUUGCUUAGAUUAUUACCUUUAUAUAUAUUUUAUUAGCCGGAUAUAUAUAUUUUAGCGUUGCUGGAUUGGAUAGGAAUGUGAGAUUUUUCGUUGUUUUAUAUAAAUUUAUUUUUACGUUUGACUUCUUCUUCUCUUUUAAUUUCGCUGUAGUAGUUUGCCGUUAGAACCGAAACUCAAUUCAUUUACUACGAUGGAUUCUGUUACCAUGAUUUUCUUGCCUUUUGAGUUUAAUAAUCGAGGAUGAUUCUAACGAUCCUCUCUGUGUGGGACUCGUGUGAUUUCGCAAGCCUUGCCCAAAGACGGGUAAUAUUUUACCAACAGUGGGAGGAGGAAUGCGAAGAUCGAUGGGUGUUUUCGAUAAUCGAAAACACCGUUUGCACAAGCCAACACAGCGAACGAUCCUUUGGUUAAAUUUUCGAAGGGAAAUUGUUCUGCUAUUUCUCUCUUACAAUCGCAUGCAAUGAUGGCAAGAAUAUCGGUUAAUAGCAAUGCCGGUAUUGCUCUUAAUUUUCGAUUGACCCCGACGAUGUAUUUAAUGGUCCUCUCUGUGCGGGACUUGUGUGAUUUCGCAAGCCUUGCCCAAAAACGGACAAUAUUUUGCCAACAAUGGGAGGAGGAAUGCGAAGAUCAGUGGGUGUUUCAGUAGCUGAAAAUACCGUUCGCACAAGCCGACACAGCGGACAACUCCUUUGUUUAAAGUUUAAACAAUGAUUCUAUCUUCAAAACCGUUCACGAAAAUAAAACGAGAUCGAUGAUAGGAAGUUCUAAUUCGAUUCUCGAGGGCAACGAGAUUAUCAGAGAAGAAGGAAAUUUUCAAAAUUAAUUUUCUUACCUUGAGGAGUAGGUGCUGUCUGGUGCCAUUACCUCAGCUGCUCCGGUGGUCGUCGAAGUUUUUGUUGGGUUUAUUACUUGAACUCGAAUAUAGUUUACUAUCAACUUUUACUUUAUUUAUCUAUUUCGAUACAGACUGAACAAUUUACUAACUGGAUUAAUACCGCAAUUACAAUGCGCAUUUCUGUCUAAGCGAUGAAAUGAGGACUUCAAAGAUAAAAUCUUUCUUUUACUUAGUCGCGGUUCUCUUUUCUUGACCGAAAAACUAAAGACCCCGAAACGCAAAAUACUAUACAAAAUUUCUAAACGCAAUGAUGAGCGCAAUAACGAACGUAGUAACAAUGAACACAAAAUAUAAUGAGCACAAGAAUAAUGAACGGUAAUAACAAUGAUCACUAUAAUAAUGAACGCAAGGAUAAUAAACGUAAUACGAAUGAUCCGUAAUAACAAUGGACACAAAAUAUAAUGAGCGUAAUAAGAAUGUUCACCAGAAUAAUAAUGAGCGCUGCUCUAUGUUGCUUCGCUUAUUUAUAAUGCCAUCCCCCACGGGGUGGUGGUCCACUGGGGGUACGCUUCCGUGGGAAUCGGGAUGUUGCAGUUUGGGUUUCUUGGAAUCGUACGUGACAAAAUGUAAAUUCCGUAUUUCGACUUAGUUUUUAUCGGUCCUGUGCUUCUGCUGAGCUAGCGUCUAGGAGGCUUGAAGCAUUCCAUGCUGAUCUAGUAUUUUCCGCGAGAAACUUCUAUGUUUUGUACCGUGGGAAUUACCCGUGUUUCUUCGGCGCGUGCAAGGGCCGGCGGCUGCAGCAUCAUUAUCACCUCGAUGUUUGCUCGGGCAACACGCGCAAUUCCGCUGCUCUCCCACAACAAGGACCUCCUUCUUCGAGUUAUUUUUCGCUUCGGUGAUCGUCGUUCGGACAAUGUUUGCGGAGGCAUUUCCAUCAGAGGUUCCUUAUUAUUAUUAUUUUUUAGAUGUAUUUUGUUUUAUAUACGAUAUAUAUAUAUAUAUAUAUAUAUGUCGGAACGAACAUUAGAAUUAGGGUUAGGGGCGUGAAACGAAUCUUCGUUUGGGUUACACGUUGUCGUUAUGCAAUAGAGAAGACAUUGACUAGUGCAAAUACGAUUAUUAUAGAACCGGACAAGUAACCGCGGUAGUUAGGUACUCGAGAAACUAAUGACAAUGAUCCUAGGUUCAAUAACGAAUCCGCGGUCGACGGGAUGAUAGAUGAACGUACUCACAAAAUCUAAGUCGGACGCGUAAUAUUCACUGAUCGUAAAGAGUUACUCCUUUCAUCAGUGAGAUCACGAGCGAGAAUGCCUUUCCCGUCCCGAUGAUGCCACAGAGGAAAACUAUAAUGGGGUGUGUCUAAGGACACGAGAUCAUCGGAUUCGUCGAGAAAAGCCUUCGUUCAGAAAGUAAGGGAAAUUGGCGUUGCUGCUAAUUGGUCAAUUUCCAUAUCGGUGGUUAGAAAAAGAUGCUAGCCGCCCUCGAGGGAAAGUUGCUAGUGGGAGACGCCGCUCGUUGAAAAAUAUGUUUCCCCUAUCUUCCCGUAGUUGGGACAAAGACUGUUUGUCUGUUUGAAGGACUUUAGUUAACUAAACCUUAAGAUUUAUAACGGGCCCUCGGGCUAGCCGAACAUGUACUGCGGAGACGCAUCGACAUCUGGCAAUCAUCUUACUCGAAGAAUAGGGUCUGCGUGUGGCGAGCCACGGGACAGAAACCGUUGGAAUGUUUAUUGUCGCGUGUCGCCACGAAUAUUUCUUUUAAGGAGAGCUAUAGAAUUACUCGAUACCUGUUGUUAGGCAAAGCGUUCAUCCCUUGACCGCGGCUACGUUGGGCGACAGACUGUCACCUCGAGCCAAAGCUCACCGUCACUAAUCUCGAACAAUUACAAUCGGAUUGAAUAACUACAAUAGUUUAGUUACAGUUAUAGUAGACUUUAGAUUGCAAUGUUGCGGGGCUAUCCAAAGGUUCCGGUGUCCUUUCAUCUCCGACAUAUAGAUAUACAUGUAUAUGUGACGAAAUAUACUAAAGCAAUAUUGACCCUU